This 406-nucleotide ribosomal RNA is filed under the name uncultured bacterium. Its description in RNAcentral is "partial 16S ribosomal RNA". It matches the Rfam family "Bacterial small subunit ribosomal RNA", at positions 29 to 526 of the family's 1533-position model. The record is from RNAcentral.
AUUGAACGCUGGCGGCAGGCAUAACACAUGCAAGUCGAACGAGUGGCGGACGGGUGAGGAAUGUCUGGGAAACUGCACGAUGGAGGGGGAUAACUACUGGAAACGGUAGCUAAUACCGCAUACCCUCGGAUGUGCCCAGAGGGGAUUAGCUUGUAGGUGAGGUAACGGCUCACCUAGGCGACGAUCCCUAGCUGGUCUGAGAGGAAGACCAGCCACACGGGAACUGAGACACGGUCCAGACUCCGACGGGAGGCAGCAGUGGGGAAUAUUGCACAAUGGGCGCAAGCAUGAUGCAGCCAUGCCGCGGGUAUGAAGAAGGCCUUCGGGUUGUAAAGUACUUUCAGCGGGGAGGCGUUACCCGCAGAAGAAGCACCGGCUAACUCCGUGCCAGCAGCCGCGGUAAUAC